UGAAUGAGCUUGAGCUGUACUGUCAAGGUGAGAAGACAUUAAAUAACUGCUGAGGUUUGGGGUUGGAAUUUUUUUUGUGUGAUUUUUUUUUUUCUCAUGUAACCAAAUACCAAUAAUCUCCUUUCUGCAUAGACUUACCACAUGUAGCAGUCUAAAGGGGAUCUGUGGAGUUCGUCUUGAGAAAAUACCACUGUUUUGGAACUAUUCCAGCCAGAUGCUGAGCAUUUUGCUGUUGACCUCAGGUGCUGAAUUAACAUGAUGCAACCCAGAGAUGCAAAGGGAUUUCUUUCAUUAACAGUGCUGUGAUGCUAGUGAGAACAGAAGAUGUGUUUCCUAGACAACCACCAUCACUCUGAAGAAACAUGGAGGAAAAAGCAGUGCGAUCCUUCUGUGAAGACCAGGAUACAUUAUGUGAAGGAUAACUGUCCCUCAAGUGCUUAAAAG
This 444-nucleotide long non-coding RNA is filed under the name Phasianus colchicus (ring-necked pheasant). Its description in RNAcentral is "lncRNA (ENSPCLG00000006677.1)". Lineage: Eukaryota; Metazoa; Chordata; Aves; Galliformes; Phasianidae. The record is from RNAcentral.